GUGGUGAUGAAAUAAAUAAUCUGAUUGUGUUACUUGAAGAACCAUUUAACCUCUAAGAAGUGCUGAACAG
Small nucleolar RNA from Gigantopelta aegis, 70 nucleotides. RefSeq annotates it as small nucleolar RNA SNORD61. The transcript has a single exon. NCBI's taxonomy places the organism in Eukaryota, Metazoa, Mollusca, Gastropoda, Neomphalida, Peltospiridae. The record is from RefSeq and is a predicted model, not a curated record.